AGUAAUGUAUGGGGAUCUGCCUGAUGGCGGGGGAUAACUACUGGAAGCGGUAGCUAAUACCGCAUAAUGUCUACGGACCAAAGCGGGGACCUUCGGGCCUCUUGCCAUCGGAUGUGCCCAGAUGGGAUUAGCUAGUAGGUGGGGUAACGGCUCACCUAGGCGACGAUCCCUAGCUGGUCUGAGAGGAUGACCAGCCACACUGGAACUGAGACACGGCCAG
RNAcentral lists this ribosomal RNA (220 nucleotides) under uncultured bacterium. RNAcentral's name for it is "partial 16S ribosomal RNA". It matches the Rfam family "Bacterial small subunit ribosomal RNA", at positions 109 to 334 of the family's 1533-position model. The record is from RNAcentral.